This is a non-coding RNA of Nematostella vectensis (starlet sea anemone), 65 nucleotides long. The record is from Rfam. NCBI's taxonomy places the organism in Eukaryota, Metazoa, Cnidaria, Anthozoa, Actiniaria, Edwardsiidae.
GAUGAAUGCUAAAGACUAGAAGACAUGAGAAUUGAAAAUCAUGUCUUGAAAGAUAACAGUAGGGA